GUACGGAUUGAUUGGUUGUAUUUCAAAACCCUGUGGGCAGUACUAUGUUUGUGGAUUGUGAAUAAAAGAGGCUGUAUGUACCAGUACAGCCAGUUCUGCUUGACCUCAAAAUGAAGUGUCAUCUCGUUAUUGUGGGAAUUGGAUUGUAUGCUGAUUGCCAGGAGUGUAAGCUGAUUGUAUGUUUUUCCUGUUCAGCUGCUUACAGCAUUCGUAUGCUUCUCCGGUUUGGUGGUUGUGGUGUCUGCUGCAGUGCUUGGAGUCCUCAGGAAGCGCUAGGAGCAUCCUUCAACGGAGGUACCCAGUCGGGGUGCCAGGUGAUCCGUUACA
Pelobates cultripes (western spadefoot toad) is the source of this 327-nucleotide non-coding RNA. The record is from the annotation of a GenBank genome assembly. Lineage: Eukaryota; Metazoa; Chordata; Amphibia; Anura; Pelobatidae.